GCCCGGCUAGCUCAGUUGGUAGAGCAUUCGACUCUUACGAGUAAUUGUCCCUUGUCCUAAGGGCAUUUGGUAUCGAAUUGUCGUGGGUUCGAGCCCCACGUUGGGCG
This 107-nucleotide transfer RNA is filed under the name Puccinia triticina 1-1 BBBD Race 1. RNAcentral's name for it is "Puccinia triticina tRNA PTTG_20225". It matches the Rfam family "tRNA". Rfam says of the family: Transfer RNA (tRNA) molecules are approximately 80 nucleotides in length. Lineage: Eukaryota; Fungi; Basidiomycota; Pucciniomycetes; Pucciniales; Pucciniaceae. The record is from Rfam by way of RNAcentral.